GACGAACGCUGGCGGCGUGCUUAACACAUGCAAGUCGAACGGAAAGGCCCUGCUUUUGUGGGGUGCUCGAGUGGCGAACGGGUGAGUAACACGUGAGUAACCUGCCCUUGACUUUGGGAUAACUUCAGGAAACUGGGGCUAAUACCGGAUAGGAGCUCCUGCUGCAUGGUGGGGGUUGGAAAGUUUCGGCGGUUGGGGAUGGACUCGCGGCUUAUCAGCUUGUUGGUGGGGUAGUGGCUUACCAAGGCUUUGACGGGUAGCCGGCCUGAGAGGGUGACCGGCCACAUUGGGACGGGGAUACGGCCCAGACUCCUACGGGAGGCAGCGGUGGGGAAUAUUGCACAAUGGGCGGAAGCCUGAUGCAGCACCGCCGCGUGGGGAAUGACGGCCUUCGGGUUGUAAACCGCUUUCGCCUGUGACGAAGCGUGAGUGACGGUAAUGGGUAAAGAAGCACCGGCUAACUACGU
This 467-nucleotide ribosomal RNA is filed under the name uncultured bacterium. Its description in RNAcentral is "partial 16S ribosomal RNA". It matches the Rfam family "Bacterial small subunit ribosomal RNA", at positions 28 to 506 of the family's 1533-position model. The record is from RNAcentral.